Molecule: long non-coding RNA, 481 nt
Organism: Papilio polytes (common Mormon)
Lineage: Eukaryota; Metazoa; Arthropoda; Insecta; Lepidoptera; Papilionidae
Exons: 2
Source: RefSeq, a predicted model, not a curated record
CGUACCAAGUAUAAAAGGAAGUUUUGCGAAUUAAAAUUCACAUAACAUAUUGCUGUUGAACAUUGAAACAUCUUCGGUACUUUUUGUUAAACAAAAUGUAUUUUAUUUUAUUUUGCGCUUUGUCAGCCGUGACCUUAACUAGUGCUAAACAGACAUAUACUGAUCUGCCAUCAGACGUUGUUGGAUUGCUUACUGAGAAAUCGGUAGGAUGUAUCGCAGAAACUGGCGCCGAUAUCAACAUUUUACAGCGAGUCUUGCAAUGGCAAUUCGACAAUGAUAAAACCAGUAAAAAGUUUGCAUUUUGUCUAUUCAGAAACUGCGGCUUAGUUGACGACAGUGGACGAUUCGAUGAGAAUCAAAUUAUUAAUUCAUUAUACAGAAAUAGUAUUAAAAAGGACGAGAUAGCAAAGGUCGCUAAGGAAUGUAAUAGUAUCGAGAACAAAAAUCCUUUAAACAAAAUGCAUCAAGGUAUCCAAUGCUU